GGUGCCGUUUGUCCCAUGUACAUUAUGUUGACAAAAAGUACAUUCUGUCUGCAAAAAUAACUUCAAUAUAGUUGAGGCACAAAAUACAUUUUACCAGGAUACAUAUAUAACUGUGGUCAGAUAUUUUGGUAGAAAAUAUACAAAAGCAGUAUGUUUAGUCAAAAAUGAGAACAAAAUCUGAUUUCUGUACAAAUAGGAUAUCAAAGUAUUGUAAACAAGCAUUUUGUCUUUCACACUGUAUUUUGUUUCUCAAAUGUAUAAAAUCCAUGUAACAAAACUAGUGAUGUGUAAAGGUAACUACAAGAUGAAUUAUGUAAAAAAAACUAGAACAAAAUAUAUAAUGUUGUAAGCGGCUAUCAUAUGUGAAUCCACACAAUUGAUAUCUCACUAUAAUUUACCAGUUUGAAGUGACAAAAUAGAUGCUUAUUACAGAAAGGAAUAUAACCUAUCACAGAAUCCAUAAUAUCAACAAAUUAACACAAGUUCAACAAAACCAAUAUCAACACAAUAGUUAAGUUAGACAAAACAGAUAAAACAGACAAAACAGAUAUUUUCAGAUUAUCUAUUCUGUGAAACAUUUCUGUCAGUCAAAUUAGUGAACCAAUGAGAUGCAAGCAUACUUCUUAACCAAUAACAAGCACUCUUUAACUGAAGUCCAUUUAUCUAUUAAUUCACCUUUCAAAUAGCAACAGUUAUUUGGCCAAUAAUAUUAGGUUUCACUUUUUUUUCUGAUCCUGCAGCUUCUUGCCAUGUUUCCACUCCCCUGAGGUUGCCAUUUUCUAGCACAUGCUCUCCAGAAUGGAUCCUAGGGGUAUUAAUGUGAAGCUAUUAGCUGACAGCAUUUUGAACCUUUCAAAAAUAGUUGAGAAUUGGUCCUCUACAAGCUCCAACACUGGGCUUCUUGCCAUGUUUCCACUCCCCUGAGGUUGCCAUUUUCUAGCACAUGCUCUCCAGAAUGGAUCCUAGGGGUAUUAAUGUGAAGCUAUUAGCUGACAGCAUUUUGAACCUUUCAAAAAUAGUUGAGAAUUGGUCCUCUACAAGCUCCAACACUGGGCCUCUAGGGUCACAUCAUUUAACAAAACAAGGACACCGCAAUUCUGCUACUGAACAGACAUUUCAACUUCCAACAAAACCCAAGCCAAGUUAAUUCUACUAUUAAUCAGAUGGAACCUAUUUUGAAAUCCUAGAUUGUAAACAACUUGCAGACGAAGAGGUUGCAUUUAUAAAAAAACUGAAACCCAGCCACAUCCUCGCAUUUG
Xenopus laevis (African clawed frog) is the source of this 1259-nucleotide long non-coding RNA. RefSeq lists it as uncharacterized. The transcript has 5 exons. The record is from RefSeq and is a predicted model, not a curated record. NCBI's taxonomy places the organism in Eukaryota, Metazoa, Chordata, Amphibia, Anura, Pipidae.